GAUGAACGCUGGCGGCGUGCCUAAUACAUGCAAGUCGAGCGAACGGACGAGAAUCUUGCUUCUCUGAUGUUAGCGGCGGACGGGUGAGUAACACGUGGAUAACCUACCUAUAAGACUGGGAUAACUUCGGGAAACCGGAGCUAAUACCGGAUGAUCUUUUGAACCGCAUGGUUCAAAAGUGAAUGACGGUCUUGCGGUCACUUAUCGAUGGAUCCGCGCUGCAUUAGCUAGUUGGUAAGGUAACGGCUUACCAAGGCAACGAUGCAUAGCCGACCUGAGAGGGUGAUGGGCCACACUGGAAGUGAGCCGCGGUCCAGACUCCUACGGGAGGCAGCAGUAGGGAAUCGUCCGCAAAGGGGGAAAGCCUGACGGAGCAACGGCGCGUGGGUGAUGAAGGUCUUCGGAUCGUAAAACUCUGUUAUUAGGGAAGAACAUAUGUGUAAGUAACUGUGCACAGUGUGACGGUAGUUAAUCAGAAAGCCACGGCUAACUACGUG
RNAcentral lists this ribosomal RNA (497 nucleotides) under uncultured bacterium. RNAcentral's name for it is "partial 16S ribosomal RNA". It matches the Rfam family "Bacterial small subunit ribosomal RNA", at positions 28 to 507 of the family's 1533-position model. The record is from RNAcentral.